Oncorhynchus tshawytscha (Chinook salmon) is the source of this 1493-nucleotide long non-coding RNA. NCBI's taxonomy places the organism in Eukaryota, Metazoa, Chordata, Actinopteri, Salmoniformes, Salmonidae. The record is from Ensembl.
GGUUCAAUAAAAUCUAUAGAACAUCUGAUUUGAUUAUGUUAUAGAACUAUUUAAUCAACAAAACUAUCUUUCCUGUUCCACAAAUGUUGAUGCUAUAGAAUCUCAUGCCAUGACCCUCACAAGUAGAAUGUUCAUGAUCAAUCUUUCUGCCUUUUACAUUUCGAUGGAUAAAAACUCAAUUGGAGAAUCUAACAGUGACAAUGGGAUCACACUGCCCCUUAGACAUUAUGAUGGAAACAAUGGGCUGUUCUGCUCUCUCUGGUCUUCCUCCCCUGAGUGAAACAGAGACUGUAAACACACAGGUUCUGAUGAGAUAAACAAUGUGGUCCCCUCUGCCAUAGAUUCUCUCUCUCUCUCCCUCUCUCUCUCCCCACCCCCAGGCUUGGCAAGUAGUCAGAGACAUCCCUGGAAUUCUCUAAAGCCACCCACUUGGCCAGGGCCAUUCACCCUCGCUCCCCUUUAUCUUUUGUGUGCACUGUCACCACUCCUUCUCCCAAGGCCCAGAGAGGGGGAGCCAUUCAUCCCUAAUGAACUUCUGAAAUCAUGCAAACAGCCUCGUUUAAUGGAGAAAUGGGGGAAGCAGUUGUGUUGUAUUUUUUUUUUUCAGUUGGAGAAAGGGGUGCAGCUUAGGGAAAGCCAGUUAAAACAGCAAUGUUUUAUAUCCCUGUUUUAGGGUGAGAACACCUCAAGCAGCAAACAGAAUGAAAAAUAGGUCAACUAUCAUAUCGAGGAUUUAUUCGCAGUGGUGUAAGGCACUUGAGUAAAAAAUAAUAUUUUUUUAUUUACAAUGACAGCCCCCCCCGGCCAAACCCUCCACUAACCCAGACAACGCUGGGCCAAUUGUGCGCCGCCCUAUGGGACUCCCGAUCACGGAUGGUUGUGACACAUACUGGGAACAAGCCAGGGUCUUGUGGUGACGCCUCUAACAGUGCCUUAGACCGCUGUGCCGCUCGGGAUGCCUCAAAGAGGAUCAUAUAUUUGGGAAGUGAUUCUGGUAACACUUUAUUUGGAUAGUCUGUAGAGCAUCUACAGAUGGACUAUCUACAGACGAUCAGUAACAUUUCAACUACUGUAACUAUCUCCUAAACCUAACCCCCACCCUAGCUCUAAUCCUAACCUUAAACCUUAUCCAAAUCCUAAAUUUAACCCUUACCCUAACCCAUAUUCUAAACCUGACCCUAACCGUAAACUUAGCAAGCAGUUGCAUAACCGACAGAUAGUUUGUUGAUAGUAUGACCAUCUUUAGAGCAUCUACAGAUGGGAAAUCCGGACUGUCCAAAUGAAGUGUGACCCUGAUGUAUUUAUCCAUACACAACCACUCAUUCAGAAUAGGCCAAGGCGGGAGCCUGUUGCAGAUAUCCGCUUACAACAAAGGAGUAGAAAAAAAACACAACAACAAAGGAGUAGAAAAAAAACACAACAACAAAGGAGUAGAAAAAAAACACAACAACAAAGGAUAGAAAAAAAAACACAACAACAAAGGAGUAGAAAAA